GACGAACGCUGGCGGCGUGCUUAACACAUGCAAGUCGAACGAUGAAGCGGUGCUUGCACCGUGGAUUAGUGGCGAACGGGUGAGUAAUACGUGAGUGACCUACCUUUCACUCUGGGAUAAGCCUGGGAAACUGGGUCUAAUACCGGAUACGACCAAUCUCUGCAUGGGGUGUUGGUGGAAAGCGUUAUGGAGUGGUUUUAGAUGGGCUCAAGGCCUAUCAGCUUGUUGGUGAGGUAAUGGCUUACCAAGGCGACGACGGGUAGCCGGCCUGAGAGGGUGACCGGCCACACUGGGACUGAGACACGGCCCAGACUCCUACGGGAGGCAGCAGUGGGGAAUAUUGCACAAUGGGCGCAAGCCUGAUGCAGCGACGCCGCGUGAGGGAUGACGGCCUUCGGGUUGUAAACCUCUGUUAGCAUCGAAGAAGCGAAAGUGACGGUAGGUGCAGAGAAAGCGCCGGCUAACUACGUG
This 471-nucleotide ribosomal RNA is filed under the name uncultured bacterium. RNAcentral describes it as "partial 16S ribosomal RNA". It matches the Rfam family "Bacterial small subunit ribosomal RNA", at positions 28 to 507 of the family's 1533-position model. The record is from RNAcentral.